This is a long non-coding RNA of Parus major (Great Tit), 6874 nucleotides long. RefSeq lists it as uncharacterized. The transcript is spliced from 2 exons. NCBI's taxonomy places the organism in Eukaryota, Metazoa, Chordata, Aves, Passeriformes, Paridae. The record is from RefSeq and is a predicted model, not a curated record.
AAAAAGAGUUGGCCUGCAGUCCAGUUCUUUCAUUUUAAUCACAGCAAAUUAUACACUAUGGUGGCCAGAUGGUUUGGUUCCACUUUAUACAGCUGGUUGAAAAAAACCAGAAUUAAUUAUCAUAAAAUUGAGAAGUUUUCAGCUACUUAAAAGUGUACUAAAUAAAAACUGCCCAUUAAGGACAUUUUCUGCUACUUCUUCUAGUGGAAUGGCGUGCACUGAAGUCAUGUAAGCACACUCUGUAUGUAUGAUUCUAAUUUUUCUCCAUAAAAGCCCUGACCGAGCUCCAAGUUAAAGCCUUGAGGCAUUUGAAGGCAUUGGUUUCAUUUGUUGCACAGUUUCAGUGUCCUGAAAUAUCCCCAGUAUGAGGGGAUAGCUGCAUUACAAGGUUCUUAGUAAGAUGCCCUGACUGAGUGACCAAGACAUGGCUUUCCUGGUAUUGGUGCUUUGGAAAUCUUCAUCACUGAUGUGUAUUUGUUUUUAUUGUCAUGGAACUUCUCAGAGAUCUGCUGCUGCUUUUUUCCAGACAUGGGCUAUGAAGAGAACAGAUUUCCUGCACAUCUGGAGGAGAUCUUAUGUUUAUAGCUGGGGAACUGGCAGUGUCUGAUUGUAUUCACUCAGAAUGCAGAGUUCUAGUUUCAUGGGAAACCAUGGUGACCCUGACUGGCAUUGUCACAAUUUUUCCAGUGAGUUUUUUAUGGGAAGUGAUUGGUUUCUCCUGUUUUUCCAUGCAGACUGGUUCUGCUUUUGUCCCCAUCCUCAGCUGCACUGGAAUUGUGAUUGAAGCAAUGUCCAGGGCGCUGGUGGGGGGCUGCAGAGUGGCCUUGGUGAGGAGUGGUGGGGACUGCCCCAUGCUGAGCACAGCCAUUUCAGCUCAUUCCACAGGACUGACCACAAGGUACAGCUGAACCCUGCAGCCACAGUGGAAAAGUCUGUGUGAGAAAGAGCAAAAUGCAGCCUAGGCAGUGAGGAGUGAAGGGAGGGUGUGAAAAACAGCGCUGCAGACACCGAGGUCAGAGGAGGAGAAGAUAUUCCAGGUGUCCAAGCAGAGCUUCUCCCUGCAGGAGAUCAUCACACUGGAGCAGGUAUCCACACUGCAGUCUGUGGAAAGGACCACACCUUGGCAGGUGAAUGUGCCCUGAAGGAGCCAUGGUCCAUGAACAGCCCAUGCUGGAGCAGGUUGAUCCCUGAAGUGCUGUAGCCCAUGGGAAGGAAUCACCCUGCAGAAAAGAAUGCAGAGGAAGGAAAGGCAAAGAAGAGCUUUUAUGGACUUACCACAGCCCCCAUUCCCUGCACUGCUUGGAAGGAGGGAGUAGAGGAGUCAGGAAUGAGAGAGCAAAGUUGAGCAUGCCAAAAAGAGGUACUGUGGGGAAGGUCUUUCUUUCUUUUUGUCUUUUUUAGGUUGGUACUCUGUUUUAAUGGAGAAUAAACUAAAUUAAUUUUCCCCAAAUCAAGUCUUUUCCUCAUGAGAGUAAUUGGUAAGCAAGCUCCCUCUCUUUAAUUUGACCCUUGAGCUUUUUCAUCCCCUGUCCUGCUGAGGAGGUGGAAUGAGAGCAGUUGGGUGGGCAGCUGGCAGCUGGCUUCAAACAACCCACCACAAUCACAACAGAAAUUGUUACACUUGAGGAGCCAGGCUGCUACUCAAGCUACUCAGCUUGAUUAUUUUUACCACUCCAAGUUGCAUGUGCUUCGUUGCCUUGUUUUGCCUCUGUAGACAAAUUGCCACCCAACAGUUUCUACAACUGUGCAGAGGUACAACGAAUUCAGAAGACAGCACUACAGCACCGCUCAGAGAAGCUGCAGCUCACUCUGCUCCCAUUAAUAAGUUGCUUUCCUGCAGCUUCUGCAAACUGCUAAUUUGAUUUAGAAUUAAAAGCCUUCAGAUAUCUUUAAGGUGGAAAGUAAAGAUCAGAUAUUUGCAUGAAAAGUUUGAAUUGCUUCCCCAUCAAGGACCCAGGAAUAUUUUAUGGACACCUUUCCAUAUUUUCUCCUAUGCUGACUUAAAAAAAUGUUUACUACCUGUGUGUGCUUACUGGGAGCUUAUGUUACUUGGAGAUGCCAGUAGCUGCUUGUCCAAAGUGCAUAUUCACAUUUUUGGAGGUUUUUAACAGAAAAAAAACUUCAGGCUUUUAAACUUUUCCAGGACCUGGUCUGAAGUAUUAAGCAGCCUUUUACCCUUCUUCUUUUGAGUUUCCUUUCAGAUCAAAUAAUAUGAAAGUUGUAAUAGUAUUAGAGGACAUAUUUAUCUAUUGUCCUGGCCUUUUACUCCAGUACUGCAGACUUAUUUUUAAAUACUCCAAGGUCACCUUUAAGGCAUAAGAGGACAAAUCAACUGUUGUUAUUUACCUGCUGAUGAUAGAGUUAAUUUGCUCAGAUAGGUCUUCAAUACCCUCCUGAAUUUAAUUACUGUUCUCUCCUUUCUCUAUUAGCUUUUGUUCAGUUGUUUCUUCUUCACAAAAAUUUUUUACUCCUUUUAUACACACACAAUACCUUGUGAAUUUAAAUACUAAUUAUUUUUCUUUUUAAAUAAGAUUCCUCCUACACAAUUGAAAUCAUGCUAUGUCCAGGUAAAAGAUCUUCUUUAAGGACUACUGAAUAGGUGUUACAAUGCUUUGUGGAUGUUCUUACCAAGAAAAACAACAUGAUUUUAUUUAUAUUCUUUAAUUUAUUAACAAAAGUAUGUUUAAUACUUCAAAGAGGUUUCUUAAAUUAUGUGAAGUAGACAAACAGGUCAAGCCCAAUUCAGAAAACCUGAGCAUGGCUUUACCUUUCAGUUAUUGUUGCAAAAUAUUUUGGCAGUCGAAACUAGCAAAAGAUUAAUGAAGACAGAAUGUAUUUCACAUAAUUGUUUUUUUGUGGGUUUUUUGAGGGAGGAGUAAGUGCAUUAAUUUUUUUGCUAACAGCCUGGAAAAUUGGUCUCAAACUCAUUAAUGCAAAAGCAAGGAUUAAUUUUGAGUCAUUCUUCAGACUGAGAGGAAUUGCUCUGUAUAUCUUAUUCUUUAUACCAAUCAUAUCAACAUGGUGAUUUUUAAGAAUAGUGAUAGAAGGAAAACCAGUCUAUUGAAGGGUCUUAGUCCAUCUCCUGAGAGGAACCUCCUGCUCCUUGUGUGCCACAAGGAGGUCCCAGAGAGUGAGCAGCGUUCUCAGGGCCUGGAGAGCACCGCUGGAGAUUGCUGACAAUAAAGGCAAAGGGAUGGGCUCUCCUUUGGUCACCAACAGCUGGAUUAUUGCAGAACACAGCCACAAACGAGUUCAGGGAUGAGAACACAACUCAGGCUCAGGGCACAGGGUUAAAUGAGAGCAAAAGGGGCGGAUCUGAGGGUCGAGGUCCAACAGGAACAAAGGAAAGUGGUGCAGGGGAAUGGCUAAAGGCCAAGGGGAUAACAGGGGUGGAACAAUGCAGCAAAACAGAGCCAAUGGGGGCUAAGGGAAGGAAGAACUUUCUAGGAAGGGUACAUGAAUGGUAAAUGGGGUCUGAACAAGGGUGACAUCAAUCCCCACACACUGUCAGAGCACCAGAACCCAAAAGGCACCAACAUGUGGCUGCAAAAGCCCCUUGGGAGCCUUUUCUUACUCCAUUCUAGAGGGGCAUCUCUCCCCUUCUGCCUCCCCGCUCCAGGGCUGAGGUAUGACCACCCUGCUGGCACACCCCUGGCCUCCACACCAGCCUGGUUUCACAAACAGAAUAUUAAACUCCCACUUAUUAAGCUAAAGAGCACUUUUCAUUAAAUUAAACCUUCAGACAGCUUUGGAACCCCAAUCUGUUUUUUUCUCCUUUGUUUCUUUUCAAAUUGUGAUUACAAGCCUGAGUCAAAUUUUUCAGAGCUUAGAGUUCAAGUGAUUUACUCUUAAUAGUGAAUGCUGAUAUUAUGACCUGUUCCAUGAUGAUGAAAACACUUUGAAAAUGCAAAAAAGAGGUCUGCAAUAGAUCAGCAAAAAUGUCUGGAAACAAUGGUCUUCGCUUUCUAAACUCUAGCAGAUUUCCUUGCCAUUAUUUUAAUUGCAUGUGCUGAGUAAGCACGUGCAUUCUUCCUCUAAAUACACUGGAGUUGUGCCUUCUUACUCAUAGAGUGCAGCUUCUCACUCUAAGUUCUCUAAUGUGUAUUUUUAUCAGUUUUUCAGACUAAAACACAAAGCAGUACUCUUUGUCAAUACACAGUUUAAAAACACUUGAAUAAAUGUUGUGCCUGCUGGUAUUUUUUCAUAUCUUAAAAGUUUGUCAAGAAUUACAGCAGCCAAGAGCUACCUUGAGAUUGCUGUGGCAGCGUGAGACAGCUUUAGAGCACAAUCAGAGCUGCAUAACACAGUGGUGAUGAAAUUCCUCUUGAGAAAUAUAAACUAUAAAAUGUAGAAAGACCUUCAUGCAUCUUUCUUUUAAAUUAAAUUCCAUGCUGGUUUUAUUUUUGUGCAUUGCCUCACAGGACAUAAUAUCAAAUGCUGAAAAUAAGAUAAAUAGAUAUUAUUUUCCUUUUUGUUUUCUUUGUCCUAUCCCAUUAUUAUACCUUUCUCUCAACUUCUCAGGAUCCUUCUGACAGAAAAAUACAGGAGUAACAAAAGUUACCAGGUUUUUUCAGUCUGAACGCACUAACGUAAGAAACUGGCUUUGGGGCUGGCCAAAGGUUCUGGAUGUGGUACAAAGUAAGGUACUGGAAUCACACAAGUUCAUUCUACAUCAGUUGCUGCUGCCCAGGCAUGAACCAUGGAUGGACCUUACAGGCCACUCUUUGCAUGUCCUCUGUUAGGGAUUAUUAACCAUAGUGAGUUACUUAUUAGCUUGGUAGCUUUUAAUUCUCUACAUGCUGAUGAAUGUUUACAGGAGUUCUCAGUAGUUCUCAUUGGAAAUAUAUUCUGAAGGGAUUUUCAGGUUGCCUAUAUUCAGGAUAUAAAAUGAAACAGUCUGUUUAGAUUUAAAAGAUCUCAUACUGUUUAAAAAUGAAAGAGGAAAAUUCUAUCCAUCGCCAUAUCCACAAAACAGACUAUGCUUGCAAACUGCAGCAAAGCUGCCAACUGCAAACAUAGAUUUUCAAGGAAAAUUUAGUACUCUGAGGGGAAAGAUGGCAAAAUUACUGAAAUCCCUUCACAGGGUAAAUUACAUAAAAUUAUAUUUAAUUUUUAAGUAUUUCUUGCUAUUUAACAAAAGAAGCAAAAUGUGGCUGGUUCUGGGCUUCCAGAGCUAGUAGCCAUUAAGCUCUAAUAGCUCAGCUAUUAAGCAGAAAUGCACACAGAUAGCACAGAUAUCCAUCUUUGGAUUUUUCAUGGGGAGACAUCCCCUGCUGCACUGGGCUCGAGCAUGCUCGUGUCUCCCACUGAGUCCCUCUGGUUCAUGAUGCUUUGUGUGCCAUGAAUUCCUCUGCCUGUUCACAUUGCACUAAUCUUCCCACUUAGAUAAUCCCAGACUCUAUGCCAGGGAGGGACUGACAGAUUACAUGCAAUUAUUUCUAUCAAAUUAAAUUGUGACUUACUAAAUGUCAGAAUUUUUUUUGAGGUGGUGUAAGCAUGUUAUAGAUGUUCUUCAAAUUGAGUUUAUGAAAUCGCUUACCAAAUAUUAUUUAAAUUGUUUCAUUAAUUCCUUUUGGUGAAUUUUAUUAUAUUUACUAUCCUUCUGAAGAAGAAAUAAGUUUUAUUUGUCCUAUCUCUUUUUCCUACUUAGGUAGAGGAAAGGGGAUGGUUGGUUUUUUUUGUGUUGUUGUUGCUGUUGUUGUUUUUUAUAUAGAGUAGUGUGUGUUGUGUAAGAGUCCCAGAAAGAUUAUGGUGUCACCUUAAUACUUUAUAAAGGGCUUUAGUAGCAUUAGAAUAUUACUUAAGUAACCUUAACAACAAUUCAGAACCCACUUACAAAACUAAUUUUAAAAGGCAUCUAAUGAAGUUUGAGAACCACAAGAAAUUGUUAUUAGUUAUAAAAAGAGAAGAGGAAGAAUUAAAGCUUAAUUUCCAUCUAGUCAUCUCCUCAGUGUAGGCUAUCACAACAAUUUGUUCUCUUAUUUGUUGAUAUCAGUAGAACCUUGUCCCUUUAUGCUUCAUGACUUGGUAGCAGACAGAUUUCUGCAUAAAUAUUUUUGUCAUGUAAGAAAACAGAUAUGGGACCUAAAACAAUAACAAGGCACUAAUUUACAGGUUAAUUAUUGUGUAUUCAGAGUUGCAUAUUUUCACAAGCAAGCACACUGAGAAGGUUACAAACAAAUUAAAUCAUAAAAUGUCCUAAUAAAGAAGCAUUAAAACUGUGUGAAAAAAUUAUAGGAAGAUGGCAAUAGAAACUGUAGAGAAAAUAUAAUUUACUUGAAUGCUUUUAUAAGAAAUAUGUAAUUUACAAAUAAACCAUGUUUGCCUGCAUUGUACCCAGACAUACAUCUAAGACAGGACCUUCAGAGCACCGUAUUUUUUCCAAAAUGAUUGAUCUUCAGUCAGUCAGUCUGACCACCAGUUGGAUAAAGAAGGACAAUAACAACAGAGUUCAGAGAGUCUUCCAUGCCAUAUGAAAGAAAUAUGCACAUUUUCAAGGACUGAGAUGGCUUAGUUUUUAAUAUUCCCAUUUGUGCUGUUGCUUUUUUUCAGAAGGUUUGAAAAUGCAAAUGUACAAAACCAAUUGCAGGCCUCUUUAUUUACUAAAAAAAUAUUGUCUACGGCUUCUGAAACCUGUGGUUCAAACCUUUGAUUUUUUUUUCUUUGAGCACUGCUGUUAUUUCAGGAGGGCAGGAGGGAUGGGGAUAGUGGAAUUCUGAGGAACAUUUUAGUUUUUUAAAACUUCCUCUUUUCAUUGAACAAGAAAUCUGGUAGAUAUACACUUGGAAAUUCUGUUGUUGGCAUUUCCAAUUCCUAACUAUUGAAAAUUUAAAUUUCAUGAAGAACAAUAAAAGACUGAAGAUUGCCAUUUUAA